CCAAAGAACAUGCCAUUGCAGCUAACUUUCUGCUCAUGGACAUGAGGAGUAUGCUAGGAGGGAAGAGAGACACCAGAUGCUUCAGGAAAUAGACAACAGGACACUGUUACCUAGGAUGUAGGUAAACAUUCCAGCUUGCCCCUGUGCUCCUGGACCAAACUCCUUCAGGACACCCAUGAUUACGUGUGCCCACCAGAUGCUAAGGGAUUACAAAGAACGAAAGGAGGUUACAACUUAGCUAGACAGAAGAAAGGAAGAGUAUACAACACAGCGCAGUCUAGGCUGAUGACUCCCAGAAUGUCCUGACUGCAAGGAACAUGUACUAUGGACCCAUCAGAAGUGAGCUCAUUUUCUAAACAUCUGUGUUGCCAACAGGCACACACCUAAAGUUUCCUCCUAUGGCCACCUGUGGAUCACCCUGACCUUCAAAGCUGGUAGCCAAAGUUCUGCUUCCACCCCCACCAUCUGCAAGGUGGCACUUUUCAGUCUUGAUGGAUAAAUGUUAAAAAUCACAACCAACAAUUCUUAAUCAUCCCUAUGAUUUUCAAAGGAAAACGCUACUGUAUUGUCAAACUUUUUCUCUACAGGCUAAAAUAAAAA
RNAcentral lists this long non-coding RNA (600 nucleotides) under Homo sapiens (human). RNAcentral describes it as "HSALNT0392491". Lineage: Eukaryota; Metazoa; Chordata; Mammalia; Primates; Hominidae. The record is from RNAcentral.